GACGAACGCUGGCGGCGUGCUUAACACAUGCAAGUCGAACGGAAAGGCCCCUUUUUGGUUACUCGAGUGGCUAACGGGUGAGUAACACGUGCGUAACCUGCCCUUCACUUCGGGAUAACUUCAGGAAACUGGGGCUAAUACCUGCUAGGAAUCCUUGCUUCAUGGUGGGUGUUGGAAAGCUUCGGCGGUUUUGGAUGGACUCGCGUCUUAUUAGCUUGUUUGUGGGGGAGUGGCUUACCAAGGCUCUGACGGGUAGCCGGCCUGAGAGGGCGACCGGCCACAUUGGGACUGAGAGACGGCCCAGACGCCUACGGGAGGCAACAGUGGGGAAUAUUGCACAAUGGGCGGAAGCCUGAGGCAGAAACGCCGCGUGCGGGAUGACGGGCUUCGGGUUGUAAACCGGUUUCAUAAGGGGCGAAGCUUGUGGUGACGGUACCUGCAGAAGAAGCACCGGCUAACUACGUG
RNAcentral lists this ribosomal RNA (465 nucleotides) under uncultured bacterium. RNAcentral's name for it is "partial 16S ribosomal RNA". It matches the Rfam family "Bacterial small subunit ribosomal RNA", at positions 28 to 507 of the family's 1533-position model. The record is from RNAcentral.